GAUGAACGCUGGCGGCGUGCCUAAUACAUGCAAGUCGAGCGAACGGACGAGAAGCUUGCUUCUCUGAUGUUAGCGGCGGACGGGUGAGUAACACGUGGAUAACCUACCUAUAAGACUGGGAUAACUUCGGGAAACCGGAGCUAAUACCGGAUAAUAUUUUGAACCGCAUGGUUCAAAAGUGAAAGACGGUCUUGCUGUCACUUAUAGAUGGAUCCGCGCUGCAUUAGCUAGUUGGUAAGGUAACGGCUUACCAAGGCAACGAUGCAUAGCCGACCUGAGAGGGGGAUCGCCCACACUGGAACUGAGACACGGUCCAGACUCCUACGGGAGGCAGCAGUAGGGAAUCUUCCGCAAUGGGCGAAAGCCUGACGGAGCAACGCCGCGUGAGUGAUGAAGGUCUUCGGAUCGUAAAACUCUGUUAUUAGGGAAGAACAUAUGUGUAAGUAACUGUGCACAUCUUGACGGUACCUAAUCAGAAAGCCACGGCUAACUACGUG
This 497-nucleotide ribosomal RNA is filed under the name uncultured bacterium. Its description in RNAcentral is "partial 16S ribosomal RNA". It matches the Rfam family "Bacterial small subunit ribosomal RNA", at positions 28 to 507 of the family's 1533-position model. The record is from RNAcentral.